This 164-nucleotide ribosomal RNA is filed under the name Ranunculus seguieri. RNAcentral's name for it is "5.8S ribosomal RNA". It matches the Rfam family "5.8S ribosomal RNA". Rfam says of the family: 5.8S ribosomal RNA (5.8S rRNA) is a component of the large subunit of the eukaryotic ribosome. It is transcribed by RNA polymerase I as part of the 45S precursor that also contains 18S and 28S rRNA. The record is from RNAcentral. Lineage: Eukaryota; Viridiplantae; Streptophyta; Magnoliopsida; Ranunculales; Ranunculaceae.
CGACUCUCGGCAACGGAUAUCUCGGCUCUUGCAUCGAUGAAGAACGUAGCGAAAUGCGAUACUUGGUGUGAAUUGCAGAAUCCCGUGAACCAUCGAGUUUUUGAACGCAAGUUGCGCCCGAGGCCUUUAGGUUGAGGGCACGUCUGCCUGGGCGUCACACACAG